UACGUAGGGGGCAAGCGUUGUCCGGAUUUAUUGGGCGUAAAGAGCGUGUAGGCGGCUUUGCAAGUCCGUUGUGAAAACUCGAGGCUCAACCUCGAGACGCCGGUGGAAACUGCAAAGCUAGAGUCCGGAAGAGGAGAGUGGAAUUCCUGGUGUAGCGGUGAAAUGCGCAGAUAUCAGGAAGAACACCAAUGGCGAAGGCAGCUCUCUGGGACGGUACUGACGCUGAGACGCGAAAGCGUGGGGAGCGAACAGG
This 253-nucleotide ribosomal RNA is filed under the name uncultured bacterium. RNAcentral describes it as "partial 16S ribosomal RNA". It matches the Rfam family "Bacterial small subunit ribosomal RNA", at positions 524 to 776 of the family's 1533-position model. The record is from RNAcentral.